AAGGAUAUUCCAGAAGUAAGUAAAGCCAACAGCAAACACCAGAGGCUUUUCCAGUGAAUGGGUGGAGAGAACACAGCCUUCCCACCAGAGACCCAGCCAACACUUCAAAAGCUUCCACUCCCAGUUCCGUAUCAGCCACAUGCUGUGGGCUCAGGACUUCUAAAAAAAGACUAAGACGUGGAGAAAGACAAUCAAGCAAACAGGACUGGCAGUGCCCAGCAUAAGGCUGAGAAGCUGUGAUGCAGCACAGGAAAACUACAGAGCAACUUUGAGUGAUGACUUUAACCAACUCUAUCUUUGACCUUAACUCAGUCUUUCUAAUUAUUGUGAUUUUCUUUCCGUUUAUUGUGGUUUUUUUCAGAAUGUAUCUGCACUUUACAAAUGCUCCGUUUGCUUCAGUAGAAAGAGACAAAACAAACAAGCGAAAAACCAAGCCAAAAGUACAACCCCAAAGCUUGAAACUACGUAUUAGAUGUAGGAACGGCCAAAUUCCUCUUGCUCAGACUUCUCUCUUAUUCCCAGCCCUGUAUUCAGAAGGGAGAAAGCAAAAAAAAGUUGGCCAUGUUUCUAUGGUGCUUCAUCCAACCCUGCCAACCCAACCAAAGCCUGGUAGUGUCUACACAUACACCCAGGCAAUGUACCAGCCCCUACAGCUGGUCGGGUCUGCCAAUAAGCCCAUAUUCCUAGGGAGCUUCUGGAAGUGCUGUGCAAACCAGGUCUGGACACUCAGUCUGCCUUCCCUCAGGAAAGGGUAUAGUUCCUGUUGAAGUGAAAGACAAACUAUUUUCACAACCAGCUUCAUAAUAUGUCCGUAUUAUCUAUAAAAAAGUUGGAAGAUUUAUAAUACUUUCUUUAGUAGUAAAGUACAAAGGGCAAUGAAAAGCCACUUUUUGUUUCUUUGGUCUCUUUACGAUCUGAAACCAGCAUCUGCCAAACAGGUUAUCAUUCACAUGUACAAAUUAGCUAUACUGCAAGAUUGAAAAAUUAAUUAAACCAUUGUUUAUUCAAUUA
Molecule: long non-coding RNA, 1011 nt
Organism: Pipra filicauda (Wire-tailed manakin)
Lineage: Eukaryota; Metazoa; Chordata; Aves; Passeriformes; Pipridae
Exons: 2
Source: RefSeq, a predicted model, not a curated record